Molecule: non-coding RNA, 72 nt
Organism: Hypoxylon fuscum
Lineage: Eukaryota; Fungi; Ascomycota; Sordariomycetes; Xylariales; Hypoxylaceae
Source: the annotation of a GenBank genome assembly
GGCCCUGUGGCGCAACGGCAGCGCGUUCCACUCCAGAUGGAAAGGUUAUCCGUUCAAAUCGGGUCGGGGUCA